RNAcentral lists this small nuclear RNA (18 nucleotides) under Arabidopsis thaliana (thale cress). RNAcentral's name for it is "snRNA_14443". The record is from RNAcentral. Lineage: Eukaryota; Viridiplantae; Streptophyta; Magnoliopsida; Brassicales; Brassicaceae.
AUUAGCUCUAUCUGAUCU